RNAcentral lists this ribosomal RNA (445 nucleotides) under uncultured bacterium. RNAcentral's name for it is "partial 16S ribosomal RNA". It matches the Rfam family "Bacterial small subunit ribosomal RNA", at positions 354 to 796 of the family's 1533-position model. The record is from RNAcentral.
GUGAGGAAUAUUGCGCAAUGGAGGCAACUCUGACGCAGCCAUGUCGCGUGCAGGAAGAAGGCGCUACGCGUUGUAAACUGCUUUUAACCGGGAAGAAACCCCAGGACGUGUCCUGGGUUGACGGUACCGGAGGAAUAAGCACCGGCUAACUUCGUGCCAGCAGCCGCGGUAAUACGAAGGGUGCAAGCGUUAUCCGGAUUCAUUGGGUUUAAAGGGUGCGUAGGCGGAGCGUUAAGUCAGUGGUGAAAUCCUGCAGCUUAACUGUAGACUUGCCAUUGAUACUGGCGCUCUUGAGUGCGCUUGAAGUGGGCGGAAUGUGCCGUGUAGCGGUGAAAUGCUUAGAUAUGGCACAGAACACCAAUUGCGAAGGCAGCUCACUAAGGCGAUACUGACGCUGAGGCACGAAAGCGUGGGGGUCGAACAGGAUUAGAAACCCUAGUAGUCC